Molecule: ribosomal RNA, 460 nt
Filed under: uncultured bacterium
Lineage: Bacteria
Description: partial 16S ribosomal RNA
Rfam family: Bacterial small subunit ribosomal RNA
Source: RNAcentral
CCUACGUGAGGCAGCAGUGAGGAAUAUUGGUCAAUGGGCGCGAGCCUGAACCAGCCAAGUAGCGUGAAGGAUGACUGCCCUACGGGUUGUAAACUUCUUUUAUAAAGGAAUAAAGUUAAGCACGUAUACCUUUUUGUAUGUACUUUAUGAAUAAGGAUCGGCUAACUCCGUGCCAACAGCCGCGGUAAUAAGGAGGAUCCGAGCGUUAUCCGGAUUGAUUGGGUUUAAAGGGAGCGUAGGUGGGUUCUUAAGUCAGUUGUGAAAGUUUGCGGCUCAACCGUAAAAUUGCAAUUGAUACUGGCAGCCGUGAGUACAGUUGAGGUAGGCGGAAUUCGUGGUGUAGCGGUGAAAUGCUUAGAUAUCACGAAGAACUCCGAUUGCGAAGGCAGCUUACUAAACUGUAACUGACACUGAUGCUCGAAAGUGUGGGUAUCAAACAGGAUUAGAUACCCCUGUAGUC